Solenopsis invicta (red fire ant) is the source of this 764-nucleotide RNA transcript. It is a transcript of the gene named probable 28S ribosomal protein S23, mitochondrial, with no coding region annotated. The transcript is spliced from 5 exons. Lineage: Eukaryota; Metazoa; Arthropoda; Insecta; Hymenoptera; Formicidae. The record is from RefSeq and is a predicted model, not a curated record.
GUUUCUCAGACUGCGACAUUUUAAAAAUGGCGACAAAUGUGUUUUGCAAUGUGUGCUUAAGAGGUUAGAUUGGAUUCUGUGAGUACCCGGUUUAUGCAGUUCGAGUCUUGUUUUGAAAUUUUUUCGUGAAAAAAAGUACACGAUGGCACAGAGCAGAUUGGAGAAAAUCGGCACGAUAUAUACCAGAAUUACCUCGUUAUUAAAAGGCAAAGCUAUAAAAGAGGAAGACACGCCGUUGUGGGUAGCGUUAUACGAGGCUUUUCCCCCAAAGUACGAGCCCAGGUAUGACAGACGGCUACCAAAGAAACCUGUCAGAUCCAUUUUUUAUGAAGAGGACCUUGUUCGAGCAAGGUUCCAUAAAAAUCAGAGCUUCAUACCAGCUACCAAUUUGGCAAACGAAAAUGUAAAAUCUGCAACACAAAACUUUUUAUCUAUGUACAAAACAAUAAAACAGAAUUAUUUUAAUAGGAGAAAGGUUUAUCAGAUGAUAGUGCAUAUGAGCAGGCAACAAAACAAUACGUUUCUGAAAUAGAAGCAAGAACAGAGUCCAGGAAAGAGAAUGAAUCAUCUACAAGUGAUCUCAUCUCUCGAAUCAUCUCUAAGUGAUUAGGAAAAUAUAUUCUUGCCAUAUCAUACCGUUUUAUACAGCAUGCUAUCGUUAAUGGAAGUGGAUAAGAAAAUUUAGUCUAUAUAAAUUAAUGAAUACGAUUAACGAAGAGAUACAGUUGUUUACGAUCAUAAAUAUACGAACAGACGGAUUUCUC